UCCUGUAAUCCUCGAGGGACCACCUGUGGCGAAGGCGCCUCACCAGAACGGCUUCGACAGUGAGGGACGAAAGCUGGGGGAGCAAACCGGAUUAGAUACCCGGGUAGUCCCAGCCGUAAACGAUGCGCGUUAGGUGUGUCGAUGACCACGAGUCAUCGAGGUGCCGAAGGGAAACCGUGAAACGCGCCGCCUGGGAAGUACGGUCGCAAGGCUGAAACUUAAAGGAAUUGGCGGGGGAGCACCACAACAGGUGGAGCCUGCGGUUUAAUUGGACUCAACGCCGGGAAGCUCACCGGAUAGGACAGCAGAAUGAUUGCCGGGCUGAAGACUCUGCAUGACUAGCUGAGAGGAGGUGCAUGGCCGUCGUCAGUUCGUACUGUGAAGCAUCCUGUUAAGUCAGGCAACGAGCGAGACCCACGCCAACAGUUGCCAGCACGAUCCCCGGAUCGGUGGGGACACUGUUGGGACCGCCUCUGCUAAAGAGGAGGAAGGAAUGGGCAACGGUAGGUCAGCAUGCCCCGAAUUAUCCGGGCUACACGCGGGCUACAAUGGGCAGGACAAUGGGUAUCGACGCCGAAAGGCGAAGGCAAUCUCCUAAACCUGUCCGUAGUUCGGAUUGUGGGCUGUAACUCGCCCACAUGAAGCUGGAAUCUGUAGUAAUCGCGUUUCAAAAUAGCGCGGUGAAUAUGUCCCUGCUCCUUGCACACACCGCCCGUCAAACCACCCGAGUGGGGUUUGGAUGAGGCUGCGGUCGUUGCCGCAGUCGAAUCUAGGUUCUGCAAGGGGGGUUAAGUCGUAACAAGGUAGCCGUA
This 812-nucleotide ribosomal RNA is filed under the name uncultured archaeon. Its description in RNAcentral is "bacterial SSU rRNA". It matches the Rfam family "Archaeal small subunit ribosomal RNA", at positions 638 to 1451 of the family's 1478-position model. The record is from RNAcentral.